Molecule: ribosomal RNA, 406 nt
Filed under: uncultured bacterium
Lineage: Bacteria
Description: partial 16S ribosomal RNA
Rfam family: Bacterial small subunit ribosomal RNA
Source: RNAcentral
AUUGAACGCUGGCGGCAGGCUUAACACAUGCAAGUCGAGCGAGAGGCGGACGGGUGAGCAAUGUCUUGGAAACUGCCUGAUGGAGGGGGAUAACUACUGGAAACGGUAGCUAAUACCGCAUACCAUCAGAUGUGCCCAGAUGGGAUUAGCUAGUAGGUGGGGUAAUGGCUCACCUAGGAGACGAUCCCUAGCUGGUCUGAGAGGAUGACCAUCCACACUGGAACUGAGACACGGUCCAGACUCCUACGGGAGGCAGCAGUGGGGAAUAUUGGACAAUGGGCGAAAGCCUGAUGCAGCCACGCCGCGUGUGUGAAGAAGGCCUUCGGGUUGUAAAGCACUUUCGGCGAGGAGGCGUUACUCACAGAAGAAGCAACGGCUAACUACGUGCCAGCCGCCGCGGUAAUAC